CACGGUUUGUGAGUCAGACCUAUUUAUGCAAAGCAUUUUACUAAAGCAGUACUCAGUCAAAGCGUUAUCCUCGAUAUCACUUCCCCUGAAUCUCUUUUUUCUUGCUCAUAAGUAUUUCCUGCAAUGCAGACCAAUGUUGCCCAAAAAUGGGCUGGAAAAAAUUACGAGGUAAUAUAAUGUCUAAUAAAAUGACUGGUUCAGUAAAAUGGUUUAACGAAUCUAAAGGUUUUGGUUUUAUCACUCCGGCUGACGGCAGCAAAGACGUGUUUGUUCAUUUCUCUGCCAUCCAGAGCGAUAGCUUCAAGACCCUGUACGAAGGUCAGAAAGUUGAAUUCGUUAUCGGCAACGGCCCGAAAGGUCCUUCUGCUGAAAACGUUGUAGGGCUGUAAUUCCCUCGGGUAAUCAUCGCUUACGAUAGCGAGGAUGGCAUU
This 431-nucleotide small RNA is filed under the name Dickeya solani. RNAcentral's name for it is "cspA". It matches the Rfam family "cspA thermoregulator". Lineage: Bacteria; Pseudomonadati; Pseudomonadota; Gammaproteobacteria; Enterobacterales; Pectobacteriaceae. The record is from RNAcentral.